RNAcentral lists this ribosomal RNA (715 nucleotides) under Cellulosimicrobium cellulans. RNAcentral describes it as "bacterial SSU rRNA". It matches the Rfam family "Bacterial small subunit ribosomal RNA", at positions 637 to 1350 of the family's 1533-position model. The record is from RNAcentral. Lineage: Bacteria; Bacillati; Actinomycetota; Actinomycetes; Micrococcales; Promicromonosporaceae.
CAGACUAGAGUGCGGUAGGGGAGACUGGAAUUCCUGGUGUAGCGGUGGAAUGCGCAGAUAUCAGGAGGAACACCGAUGGCGAAGGCAGGUCNNUGGGCCGCAACUGACGCUGAGGAGCGAAAGCAUGGGGAGCGAACAGGAUUAGAUACCCUGGUAGUCCAUGCCGUAAACGUUGGGCACUAGGUGUGGGGCUCAUUCCACGAGUUCCGUGCCGCAGCAAACGCAUUAAGUGCCCCGCCUGGGGAGUACGGCCGCAAGGCUAAAACUCAAAGGAAUUGACGGGGGCCCGCACAAGCGGCGGAGCAUGCGGAUUAAUUCGAUGCAACGCGAAGAACCUUACCAAGGCUUGACAUGCACGAGAAGCCACCAGAGAUGGUGGUCUCUUUGGACACUCGUGCACAGGUGGUGCAUGGUUGUCGUCAGCUCGUGUCGUGAGAUGUUGGGUUAAGUCCCGCAACGAGCGCAACCCUCGUCCCAUGUUGCCAGCGGGUUAUGCCGGGGACUCAUGGGAGACUGCCGGGGUCAACUCGGAGGAAGGUGGGGAUGACGUCAAAUCAUCAUGCCCCUUAUGUCUUGGGCUUCACGCAUGCUACAAUGGCCGGUACAAAGGGCUGCGAUACCGUAAGGUGGAGCGAAUCCCAAAAAGCCGGUCUCAGUUCGGAUUGGGGUCUGCAACUCGACCCCAUGAAGUCGGAGUCGCUAGUAAUCGCAGAUC